AGAGUUUGAUCAUGGCUCAGAAUCAACGCUGGCGGCGCGCUUAACACAUGCAAGUCGCACGAGAAAGCAGGAGCAAUCCUGUGAGUAAAGUGGCGUACGGGUGAGUAACACGUGGAUCAUCUACCUUCUAGUGGGGCAUACCUCUGGGAAACCGGAGAUAAUUCCGCAUAAGCUCGUGAGAGGAAAGCAGCAAUGCGCUGGAAGAGGAGUCCGCGGCUGAUUAGCUAGAUGGCGGGGUAAUGGCCCACCAUGGCGAAGAUCGGUAGCCGGCCUGAGAGGGCACACGGCCACACUGGCACUGAAACACGGGCCAGACUCCUACGGGAGGCAGCAGUGGGGAAUCUUGCACAAUGGAGGCAACUCUGAUGCAGCGACGCCGCGUGAGCGAUGAAGCCCUUCGGGGUGUAAAGCUCUUUCGACGGGAAAGAUUAUGACGGUACCCGGAGAAGAAGCUGCGGCUAACUACGUGCCAGCAGCCGCGGUAAUACGUAGGCAGCGAGCGUUGUUCGGAAUUACUGGGCGUAAAGAGUGUGUAGGCGGUGUUCCAAGUCUGGUGUGAAAUCUCCCGGCUUAACUGGGAGGGUGCGCCGGAAACUGGAAUGCUCGAGGGUGGGAGAGGUAAGCGGAAUUCCUGGUGUAGCGGUGAAAUGCGUAGAUAUCAGGAGGAACACCUGUGGUGUAGACAGCUUACUGGACCACUUCUGACGCUGAGACACGAAAGCGUGGGUAGCAAACAGGAUUAGAUACCCUAGUAGUCC
Molecule: ribosomal RNA, 758 nt
Filed under: uncultured bacterium
Lineage: Bacteria
Description: bacterial SSU rRNA
Rfam family: Bacterial small subunit ribosomal RNA
Source: RNAcentral